GCUGAAGGUGGCGACAUUAGCUAAUAGGGAAAAUGAUGAGAGACCAUCAAACCGGGAGGGGUAGUGUGGCCGAGCGGUCU
Molecule: non-coding RNA, 80 nt
Filed under: Daubentonia madagascariensis (aye-aye)
Lineage: Eukaryota; Metazoa; Chordata; Mammalia; Primates; Daubentoniidae
Source: RNAcentral